This 490-nucleotide ribosomal RNA is filed under the name uncultured bacterium. RNAcentral describes it as "partial 16S ribosomal RNA". It matches the Rfam family "Bacterial small subunit ribosomal RNA", at positions 30 to 507 of the family's 1533-position model. The record is from RNAcentral.
AUUGAACGCUGGCGGCAGGCCUAACACAUGCAAGUCGAACGGUAACAGGAAGCAGCUUGCUGCUUCGCUGACGAGUGGCGGACGGGUGAGUAAUGUCUGGGAAACUGCCUGAUGGAGGGGGAUAACUACUGGAAACGGUAGCUAAUACCGCAUAACGUCGCAAGACCAAAGAGGGGGACCUUAGGGCCUCUUGCCAUCGGAUGUGCCCAGAUGGGAUUAGCUAGUAGGUGGGGUAACGGCUCACCUAGGCGAUGAUCCCUAGCUGGUCUGAGAGGAUGACCAGCCACACUGGAACUGAGACACGGUCCAGACUCCUACGGGAGGCAGCAGUGGGGAAUAUUGCACAAUGGGCGCAAGCCUGAUGCAGCCAUGCCGCGUGUAUGAAGAAGGCCUUCGGGUUGUAAAGUACUUUCAGCGGGGAGGAAGGGAGUAAAGUUAAUACCUUUGCUCAUUGACGUUACCCGCAGAAGAAGCACCGGCUAACUCCGUG